AACGGAAGCUCCCGGAGGGCAGCAGCCACACUGUUGCCUUUCUUUGUCCCCCCAGGUCAGCACAAGGAUCACAGCGCUGGUGAGAACGGGCCUUCAUUGAACAUCAGUUUUCCAGGCCCGCUCUCCAAGAGGGAACGGUGCCCCUCUGACCAGUCCAGGUCAGGGGACUGGCCCAGGGUCCUUCAGCCAGUGUGGGUCAGUGGAGGCCCCUCCCCGCUUGGGGCUUUCCAUUCCCCUGACAGAGGCGUCUCAUCCAAGCUGCCUGAGGGCAGGGGCUGUUUGACCUUCGCCUUGUCUAGCACAGCGCCUGGCACACGGAGAGGGCUCGUUCGAUGGCUGCAUGGAUGGCUGGAGUCUGGAGGCCUGCCAGGGCGCAGCACGGCCGCCCAGCCCCAAGGGGGCACCAGAGAGCUCCUCGGACUCCCGAUUCCCCGCCCCGCCCCCCGCUCUCGUUGCCAUAGACGCAGAGGAGGGCAGGAAGGCGCAGACGUCACUUCCGCCCCGCGGCCUGGCAGUUGUCAGCCCCUUCCGGUAUCUGCCCAGCUCUCGGCCUCCUUGGCUCCACUGCGCGUCGGCCGUCCCGGGGCCGAGUCCGGCAGUCCACCGUCCCGAGGCCGAGCCCGAGGGCGGAGGAGGCGGCGGCGCUCCUCGCCCUGGGUCUCGGCCACCCGUGGGUGGGCCUUGGCGGUGUGGCGUCGGGCUCCGCCUCUUCCGCGAGCGGCUGUGCCCAUUGGACAGUCUGGGAGCGGCUUCGGCCAAUCAGAGACGCAUCUGUCCCCCCGCCCCCUCAGUGAGCCGCUUGAGCUGGACGCCGGCGGGAGAAGCAGCCCUGCUGGGGUGAGUGGAGAGGGCGCCGCGGGGGGCUCGCGGCCCCGCCUGGGGCUCCUGGCCCCCCGGGAGCUCUCCGCCACGUCCACCCCCUCCUCCCCCGACUCUCCGAGCGCCGAGGGGGCGCCUGCCGUGUGCCAGGCUCUGUGCCCAACGCUUCGGUCGUGUCAGCACCCCCAUUUUACAGUGAAGGAAACUGAGUGA
RNAcentral lists this long non-coding RNA (1032 nucleotides) under Phascolarctos cinereus (koala). Its description in RNAcentral is "lncRNA (ENSPCIG00000019759.2)". Lineage: Eukaryota; Metazoa; Chordata; Mammalia; Diprotodontia; Phascolarctidae. The record is from RNAcentral.